AUUUUAGUGCCCGCUACUGGACGUCACAGGCUCUGUGUUGACAAAGAUUAAAAUAUUAGUUAUUUACAUCCUUGAUGUUGACGUUGGACUGUGGAUUUACAAGCAUACAUAACCGAUCAGAGAGAUUUCUUAUUCGAAAAGGAAAAAAUGACGAGCAUAACACAUCUCUUUAAUGUUACUUUUCAACACAUGCUUCUAUCAAAUCGAAAAGAUACGAGGGAAUCAACUCAAGACACAAAAAAAUGAAAAAAAAAGCAAAAAAUAAAAAGAGCACAUUUAUUGUAUAUCUUCAUGAAAGUCGCAGUGAUCAAAAGCACUCCUGUCACUGCGAGUUCAAUACAGUCCCUAGCAUAACUUUAACGAUUAAUAUUGAACAUUUUUACAAUACCAAGGUUACCAUACAAAACCUUGGAAAUUCAGAGCACUAUACACAGCCGGACAUUUUUUUUCUGAGACAACUACCCGUGGUCUUGUUUCUUUGAUGACCUAACUGUCCUCCAUAAAGUAUGAAACCUAAAACGUUGGAGACCACAAGUAUCAAA
Molecule: long non-coding RNA, 542 nt
Filed under: Mytilus galloprovincialis (Mediterranean mussel)
Lineage: Eukaryota; Metazoa; Mollusca; Bivalvia; Mytilida; Mytilidae
Source: RNAcentral